This is a long non-coding RNA of Drosophila miranda, 358 nucleotides long. RefSeq lists it as uncharacterized. NCBI's taxonomy places the organism in Eukaryota, Metazoa, Arthropoda, Insecta, Diptera, Drosophilidae. The transcript has 2 exons. The record is from RefSeq and is a predicted model, not a curated record.
UUGUCGAAACAUAUUGCGUGUGUACUAACACAUGCAAAGAUGUUCUCUCUGCGUUCUCUCUCAUGAUGACGCGUCAGUACUCUGGGGUACUCAACGCGCUAGCCAGUGUGUGACGCUUUCGUGGUAUGAACUGGCACAUCUAUAUACUGUAUGGUUAGUGCUAGUGGUUUUGAUUAAGAAAAAAAUGUUAUUGUCAUCGCUAUAUUUUUAAAAUGGGACGAGAGAAUUAUCUUCUUUAGCGUCACGACAAGCUCAACGUCAAAGCACAGUCCACUGCCAAUUGCCGUUGUUUCUCGCAUUCAUAUCGGCACCCGCUUUAUAAACGUUUCAAGCGGGAAGAAGACCGCAAAGAGGAACG